This 345-nucleotide unclassified non-coding RNA is filed under the name soil metagenome. RNAcentral describes it as "partial contains 5.8S ribosomal RNA, internal transcribed spacer 2, and large subunit ribosomal RNA". The stretch from base 1 to 119 matches the Rfam family "5.8S ribosomal RNA", at positions 35 to 154 of the family's 154-position model. The record is from RNAcentral.
GAUGAAGAACGCAGCGAAAUGCGAUACGUAAUGUGAAUUGCAAAUUCAGUGAAUCAUCGAGUCUUUGAACGCACAUUGCCCCCCCUGGUAUUCCGGGGGGCAUGCCUGUCCGAGCGUCAUUGCUGCCCUCAAGCACGGCUUGUGUGUUGGGCCCCGUCCUCCGAUCCCGGGGGACGGGCCCGAAAGGCAGCGGCGGCACCGCGUCCGGUCCUCGAGCGUAUGGGGCUUUGUCACCCGCUCUGUAGGCCCGGCCGGCGCUUGCCGAUCAACCCAAAUUUUUAUCCAGGUUGACCUCGGAUCAGGUAGGGAUACCCGCUGAACUUAAGCAUAUCAAUAAGCGGAGGA